Molecule: ribosomal RNA, 274 nt
Filed under: uncultured Donghicola sp.
Lineage: Bacteria; Pseudomonadati; Pseudomonadota; Alphaproteobacteria; Rhodobacterales; Roseobacteraceae
Description: partial 16S ribosomal RNA
Rfam family: Bacterial small subunit ribosomal RNA
Source: RNAcentral
AGCCAUGCCGCGUGAGUGAUGAAGGCCUUAGGGUCGUAAAGCUCUUUCGCCAGGGAUGAUAAUGACAGUACCUGGUAAAGAAACCCCGGCUAACUCCGUGCCAGCAGCCGCGGUAAUACGGAGGGGGUUAGCGUUGUUCGGAAUUACUGGGCGUAAAGCGCGCGUAGGCGGACCAGAAAGUUGGGGGUGAAAUCCCGGGGCUCAACCCCGGAACUGCCUCCAAAACUCCUGGUCUUGAGUUCGAGAGAAGUGAGUGGAAUUCCGAGUGUAGAGG